This 1560-nucleotide long non-coding RNA is filed under the name Coffea arabica (coffee). RNAcentral describes it as "long non-coding RNA (CARA_LNC003552)". Lineage: Eukaryota; Viridiplantae; Streptophyta; Magnoliopsida; Gentianales; Rubiaceae. The record is from RNAcentral.
UGCCGAGCUCGGUAACGUGGGCUUUCACCCAAGUGGGGGGCAAGGGCAUGGUCUCGGUUGCUGGCAGCACAAAAAUUCCACAUUCCACAUUCCACGAUCUAAAAAAUAAAAAUCAAUGAAUUAAAAAAAAACAUUGCAGCAACUGGGACCAUUCCCUUUUCUUCAUUUUUCCUGUGUAAGCCACAAAUAAACUGUAGAAAUUUAGCUGGCUAGCGUUUGAAAUAUUUUUGUAGGUGUGCAUAAUCCCAUAGAUAGCAAGCGUCAUAUCAAAAUGUUUAUAUGGUAAGGGGUUACGAUUAGGUUUCUUGUUGUUUAUAUUGUCUGCUCUGUUUGAUAUUUCUUUUUUCUAUCAUUUUUAGUGGUUAAUCAAUACUUUUUCUGUUGAAUAAUGUUGUAUGUGUUGUAGCUGCUGUGGGGUGAUUGUAUAACUUAAUAGAAUGGUUUGUUAAUUCAGCUGAUAAUCCUUUUUGGAAAUUGAAAAAUGUAAUGACAAUAACGGAAGUAGUUCAUGACUUGCUAGAUUCUAUUCCACAUCGACAUCAUCAGUGGCUCCAAUUUGGUAUAUAAAGUUCAUUUCCUUAUCCUACGAAUGCUAGGCUCGGUAAUGUGGGUUUGUACCCCGAGUGGGGGCAUUAAGGGUAUGGAAUCAAUUGCUUGCAACCCAAAAAAAUUCCACAUUCCACUAUCUAAAAAAUAGAAAUGAAUGAAUUCAAAAAUGUUGCAGCUGGUUGGACCAUUACCUCCUUCAUUUUUGCUGUUUAAGGCACAAUGAAACUGUAGAAAUUUAGCUAGCUAGCAUUUGCAGUGUUUUUGUAUGUGUACAUAAUCCCAUAGAUAGCAAACAGGUUCAUUUUUCCUACUUAAGCCACAAGGAAACUACAGAAAUUUGGCUAGCUAGUGUUUGCAAUAUUUUUGUAUGUAUACAUAAUCCCAUAGAUAGUAAGCAGGCGUCAUAUAACAAUGUUUAUAAGGUAAGGGGUUAUGAUUAGGUUUCUUAUUGUUUAUGUUGUCUGCUUUGUUUGAUAUUUCUUUUUUUUCUGUCAUAUUCGGUGGUUAAUCAAUACUUUUUCUGCUGAAUAAUGUUGUACAUAUUGUAGCUGCUGUGGAGUGAUUAUAUAAUUUACCAGAAUGGUUUGUUAAUUUAGCUGAUAAUCCUUUUUGGAAAUUGAAAAAUGUAACGACAAUAAGGGAACUAGUUCAUGACCUGCUAGAUUCUAUCCCACAUCGACGCAACCAGUGCCUCCAAUUCAGUAUAUAAAGUUCAUUUCCUUAUCCCACGAUCGCCGAGCUCGGUAAUGUGAGCUUUCACCCAAGUGGGGGGCAAGGGCAUGGACUCAGUUGCUGGCAGCCCAAAAAAAUUCCACAUUCCACGUUCCACGAUUUAAAAAAUAAAAAUCAAUGAAUUAAAAAAACGUUGCAGCAACUGGGACCAUUCCCUUUUCUUCAUUUUUCCUGUUUAAGCCACAAUUAAACUAUAGAAAUUUAGCUAGCUUGCGCUUGCAAUAUUUUUGUAUGUGUGCAUAAUUCUAUAGAUAGCAAGAGUCAUAUCACAAUGUUUAU